RNAcentral lists this non-coding RNA (67 nucleotides) under Palpitomonas bilix. The record is from RNAcentral.
AAUAAAACAAAGAAAAAAGAAAAAAGAAAAGAUAAAAAAUGAAAGAUAACACCAGUUCACAUAUGCA